Molecule: ribosomal RNA, 198 nt
Filed under: uncultured bacterium
Lineage: Bacteria
Description: partial 16S ribosomal RNA
Rfam family: Bacterial small subunit ribosomal RNA
Source: RNAcentral
ACGCUCGACACCUACGGGAGGCAGCAGUGGGGAAUAUUGCACAAUGGGGGAAACCCUGAUGCAGCGACGCCGCGUGAAGGAAGAAGUAUUUCGGUAUGUAAACUUCUAUCAGCAGGGAAGAAAAUGACGGUACCUGACUAAGAAGCCCCGGCUAACUACGUGACAGCAGCCGCGGUAAUCUGAGCGGGCUGGCAAGGC